GCGGAGGAAAAGAAACCAACAGGGAUUGCCCUAGUAACGGCGAGUGAAGCGGCAACAGCUCAAAUUUGAAAUCUGGCUCUUUCAGGGUCCGAGUUGUAAUUUGCAGAGGGUGCUUUGGCGCUGGCAGCGGUCCAAGUUCUUUGGAACAGGACGUCAUAGAGGGUGAGAAUCCCGUACAUGGUCGCUAGCCUUCGCUGUGUAAAGCCCCUUCGACGAGUCGAGUUGUUUGGGAAUGCAGCUCUAAAUGGGAGGUAAAUUUCUUCUAAAGCUAAAUACUGGCCAGAGACCGAUAGCGCACAAGUAGAGUGAUCGAAAGAUGAAAAGCACUUUGGAAAGAGAGUCAAAUAGCACGUGAAAUUGUUGAAAGGGAAGCGCUUGCAGCCAGACUUGCCUGUAGUUGCUUAUCUGGACUUUUGUCUAGUGCACUCUUCUGCGGGCAGGCCAGCAUCAGUUUGGGCGGUUGGAUAAAGGUCUCUAUCACGUACCUCCUUUCGGGGAGGCCUUAUAGGGGAGACGACAUGCAAUCAGCCUGGACUGAGGUC
Molecule: ribosomal RNA, 542 nt
Filed under: Phaeosphaeria sp. f280
Lineage: Eukaryota; Fungi; Ascomycota; Dothideomycetes; Pleosporales; Phaeosphaeriaceae
Description: eukaryotic LSU rRNA
Rfam family: Eukaryotic large subunit ribosomal RNA
Source: RNAcentral